RNAcentral lists this microRNA precursor (73 nucleotides) under Bos taurus (domestic cattle). RNAcentral's name for it is "mir-2450 microRNA precursor family". It matches the Rfam family "mir-2450 microRNA precursor family". Lineage: Eukaryota; Metazoa; Chordata; Mammalia; Artiodactyla; Bovidae. RNAcentral also lists the same sequence under 1 other name. The record is from Rfam by way of RNAcentral.
AGAGGGGCAUGUGCCUUUUCUGCACACUCGGUAUAGACGCGCGCAAACGGUCAGUAGAGGGGCAUGUGCCUUU